RNAcentral lists this ribosomal RNA (590 nucleotides) under uncultured organism. Its description in RNAcentral is "bacterial SSU rRNA". It matches the Rfam family "Bacterial small subunit ribosomal RNA", at positions 55 to 633 of the family's 1533-position model. The record is from RNAcentral.
AUGCAAGUCGAACGGUAGUACAGAGCUUGCUCUGUAUGAGAGUGGCGAACGGGUGAGUAACACGUAGGUAAUCUACCUUUGGAUUGGGGAUAGCGCAUGGAAACAUGAGGUAAUACCGAAUAAAUCGUAUACCGUAGAGGUAAACGGGAAAGGCGCUUUGGCGCCGUCCGGGGAUGAGCCUGCGGCUUAUUAGUUAGUUGGUAGGGUAACGGCCUACCAAGGCGACGAUAAGUAGCCGGCCUGAGAGGGUGAACGGCCACACUGGGACUGAGACACGGCCCAGACGUCCUACGGGAGGCAGCAGCUAAGAAUCUUCCGCAAUGGACGCAAGUCUGACGGAGCGACGCCGCGUGGGUGAAGAAGGCCGAAAGGUUGUAAAGCCCUUUUCUUGCUGAAGAAUAAGGGCAGGAGGGAAUGCCUGUCCGAUGACGUUAGGUGAGGAAUAAGCCCCGGCCAAUUACGUGCCAGCAGCCGCGGUAACACGUAUGGGGCGAGCGUUGUUCGGAAUCAUUGGGCGUAAAGGGCGCGCAGGCGGUUACAUGAGCCUGGUGUGAACGGCUACGGCUCAGCUGUGGUCUCGCGCUGGGAAC